GAUGAACGCUAGCGGCAGGCUUAAUACAUGCAAGUCGAGGGGCAGCACGGGUAGCAAUAUCUGGUGGCGACCGGCGCACGGGUGCGUAACACGUAUGUAAUCUACCUGUAACCGGGGCAUAGCUCAGAGAAAUCUGGAUUAAUUCCCCAUAACAUAUUGAACAGGCAUCUGUUUAAUAUUAAAGCUCCGGCGGUUACAGAUGAACAUGCGGAACAUUAGCUGGUUGGUGAGGUAACGGCUCACCAAGGCUACGAUGUUUAGGGGUUCUGAGAGGAUGAUCCCCCACACUGGUACUGAGACACGGACCAGACUCCUACGGGUGGCAG
This 326-nucleotide ribosomal RNA is filed under the name uncultured Bacteroidota bacterium. Its description in RNAcentral is "bacterial SSU rRNA". It matches the Rfam family "Bacterial small subunit ribosomal RNA", at positions 28 to 351 of the family's 1533-position model. The record is from RNAcentral. Lineage: Bacteria; Pseudomonadati; Bacteroidota.